RNAcentral lists this ribosomal RNA (569 nucleotides) under uncultured Gammaproteobacteria bacterium. RNAcentral's name for it is "bacterial SSU rRNA". It matches the Rfam family "Bacterial small subunit ribosomal RNA", at positions 812 to 1381 of the family's 1533-position model. The record is from RNAcentral. Lineage: Bacteria; Pseudomonadati; Pseudomonadota; Gammaproteobacteria.
UCGAUUCGGAGUUUGUUGCCUAGAGUGAUGGGCUCCGAAGCUAACGCGAUAAAUCGACCGCCUGGGGAGUACGGCCGCAAGGUUAAAACUCAAAUGAAUUGACGGGGGCCCGCACAAGCGGUGGAGCAUGUGGUUUAAUUCGAUGCAACGCGAAGAACCUUACCUGGUCUUGACAUCCACAGAAUCUUGCAGAGAUGCGAGAGUGCCUUCGGGAACUGUGAGACAGGUGCUGCAUGGCUGUCGUCAGCUCGUGUUGUGAAAUGUUGGGUUAAGUCCCGCAACGAGCGCAACCCUUAUCCUUUGUUGCCAUUGGUUCGGCCGGGAACUCAAAGGAGACUGCCGUUGAUAAAGCGGAGGAAGGUGGGGACGACGUCAAGUCAUCAUGGCCCUUACGACCAGGGCUACACACGUGCUACAAUGGCGUAUACAAAGGGAGGCGACCUCGCGAGAGCAAGCGGACCUCAUAAAGUACGUCUAAGUCCGGAUUGGAGUCUGCAACUCGACUCCAUGAAGUCGGAAUCGCUAGUAAUCGUGAAUCAGAAUGUCACGGUGAAUACGUUCCCGGGCCU